AUUGAACGCUGGCGGCAUGCUUUACACAUGCAAGUCGAACGGCAGCGCGGGGCAACCUGGCGGCGAGUGGCGAACGGGUGAGUAAUACAUCGGAACGUACCCAGAAGUGGGGGAUAACGUAGCGAAAGUUACGCUAAUACCGCAUACGUUCUACGGAAGAAAGUGGGGGACCUUCGGGCCUCAUGCUUUUGGAGCGGCCGAUGUCUGAUUAGCUAGUUGGUGAGGUAAAGGCUCACCAAGGCGACGAUCAGUAGCUGGCCUGAGAGGACGACCAGCCACACUGGGACUGAGACACGGCCCAGACUCCUACGGGAGGCAGCAGUGGGGAAUUUUGGACAAUGGGCGCAAGCCUGAUCCAGCAAUGCCGCGUGAGUGAAGAAGGCCUUCGGGUUGUAAAGCUCUUUUGUCAGGGAAGAAACGGCUGAGGAUAAUACCUUCGGCUAAUGACGGUACCUGAAGAAUAAGCACCGGCUAACUACGUG
This 482-nucleotide ribosomal RNA is filed under the name uncultured bacterium. RNAcentral's name for it is "partial 16S ribosomal RNA". It matches the Rfam family "Bacterial small subunit ribosomal RNA", at positions 30 to 507 of the family's 1533-position model. The record is from RNAcentral.